GCGCUUGCUUUGGCAGCACAUAUACUAAAAUUGGAAGGAUACAGAGAAGAUUAGCAUGGCCCCUGCACAAGGAUAACAUGCAAAUUUGUGAAGUGUUCCAUAAAUUA
Molecule: small nuclear RNA, 107 nt
Filed under: Salvator merianae (Argentine black and white tegu)
Lineage: Eukaryota; Metazoa; Chordata; Lepidosauria; Squamata; Teiidae
Source: RNAcentral